This is a long non-coding RNA of Cercocebus atys (sooty mangabey), 741 nucleotides long. RefSeq lists it as uncharacterized. The record is from RefSeq and is a predicted model, not a curated record. The transcript has 2 exons. Lineage: Eukaryota; Metazoa; Chordata; Mammalia; Primates; Cercopithecidae.
UACACAAAGAAAACCACAGAGAGAGGAGUUCAUAUACAAUCUGCAACUGCAAGAAGAAACAGAAAGAAAAGUGCAGAUGAAGGCCCUUAACUACAUCCAAACUACACAUAUCAGAUAUUCAACUGACAAGAUUGGAUUGAGACCCUUAAGUGAUUUAAAUGAGGACGCUGGCUCUGAGGAGGUGGAUGGAGAAAAUUGGCCCCAAAGAUUUAACCCUAAGUUUUAAUGAAGUCUUGAGUUCCAAAGAAGACGUCCUGAAAUUAAAUUGACUCGGGCUUAUAGUGCCCCCUCGUGCCUGAUGAAGACAAACACAAAUCCCUUCAGGAGGAAAUCAUCUUGAACCCAAGUUCUCUACAUUUAUACACAUUAUCUAUUUAUUGAGGAAUCAUUUAUUGAACACCUAUUAUAUGCCAGACACUCUGUCAGGAACUUAGGAUGUUUAAAUAUAAGGUCGUAACAAAUGUCACAAAAUUGAAGAAAAACAGACACUUUGGAGAGUUUGGCUUAUAAGCAAAGAAGAGCCUUCUGUUUCCUCCUAGAUCCCUAAGCAAACAAAGGAUUUCAGAUAUUGAAAUGAUUAGAUACAGACUAUAAAAAUAACUAUUUACUAAAAGUUUAAUGAAAUAAAAAAUAGAAUAAUAAAACAAUCAAGGAGCACGGGAUAAUCAAAACCAAGUACAUUUGAAAAAGAACAAAAGAGAACUUUGCUAUACUCCAUAAUGAUAAAAUAAAAAUCCAAAA